This 254-nucleotide ribosomal RNA is filed under the name uncultured bacterium. RNAcentral describes it as "partial 16S ribosomal RNA". It matches the Rfam family "Bacterial small subunit ribosomal RNA", at positions 524 to 777 of the family's 1533-position model. The record is from RNAcentral.
UACGAAGGGGGCUAGCGUUGCUCGGAAUCACUGGGCGUAAAGCGCACGUAGGCGGGUCGUUAAGUCAGGGGUGAAAUCCUGGAGCUCAACUCCAGAACUGCCCUUGAUACUGGCGAUCUCGAGUUCGGGAGAGGUGAGUGGAACUGCGAGUGUAGAGGUGAAAUUCGUAGAUAUUCGCAAGAACACCAGUGGCGAAGGCGGCUCACUGGCCCGAUACUGACGCUGAGGUGCGAAAGCGUGGGGAGCAAACAGGG